Molecule: ribosomal RNA, 492 nt
Filed under: uncultured bacterium
Lineage: Bacteria
Description: partial 16S ribosomal RNA
Rfam family: Bacterial small subunit ribosomal RNA
Source: RNAcentral
AGUGAACGCUGGCGGUAGGCCUAACACAUGCAAGUCGAACGGCAGCACAGUAAGAGCUUGCUCUUACGGGUGGCGAGUGGCGGACGGGUGAGGAAUACAUCGGAAUCUACUUUUUCGUGGGGGAUAACGUAGGGAAACUUACGCUAAUACCGCAUACGACCUACGGGUGAAAGCAGGGGAUCUUCGGACCUUGCGCGAUUGAAUGAGCCGAUGUCGGAUUAGCUAGUUGGCGGGGUAAAGGCCCACCAAGGCGACGAUCCGUAGCUGGUCUGAGAGGAUGAUAAGCCACACUGGAACUGAGACACGGUCCAGACUACUACGGGAGGCAGCAGUGGGGAAUGUUGGGCAAUGGGCGCAAGCCUGAUCCAGCGAUACCGCGUGGGUGAAGAAGGCCUUCGGGUUGUAAAGCCCUUUUGUUGGGAAAGAAAAGCAGCAGGUUAAUACCCCGCUGUUCUGACGGUACCCAAAGAAUAAGCACCGGCUAACUUCGUG